RNAcentral lists this ribosomal RNA (497 nucleotides) under Erythrobacter dokdonensis. Its description in RNAcentral is "bacterial SSU rRNA". It matches the Rfam family "Bacterial small subunit ribosomal RNA", at positions 28 to 571 of the family's 1533-position model. Lineage: Bacteria; Pseudomonadati; Pseudomonadota; Alphaproteobacteria; Sphingomonadales; Erythrobacteraceae. The record is from RNAcentral.
AACGAACGCUGGCGGCAUGCCUAACACAUGCAAGUCGAACGAGACCUUCGGGUCUAGUGGCGCACGGGUGCGUAACGCGUGGGAACCUGCCCUUAGGUUCGGAAUAACUCAGAGAAAUUUGAGCUAAUACCGGAUAAUGUCUUCGGACCAAAGAUUUAUCGCCUUUGGAUGGGCCCGCGUUGGAUUAGCUAGUUGGUGGGGUAAAGGCCUACCAAGGCGACGAUCCAUAGCUGGUCUGAGAGGAUGAUCAGCCACACUGGGACUGAGACACGGCCCAGACUCCUACGGGAGGCAGCAGUGGGGAAUAUUGGACAAUGGGCGAAAGCCUGAUCCAGCAAUGCCGCGUGAGUGAUGAAGGCCUUAGGGUUGUAAAGCUCUUUUACCCGAGAUGAUAAUGACAGUAUCGGGAGAAUAAGCUCCGGCUAACUCCGUGCCAGCAGCCGCGGUAAUACGGAGGGAGCUAGCGUUGUUCGGAAUUACUGGGCGUAAAGCGCACG